AGCCUUUUUCUGCGCACUCAACCGCUUUCGGAGCAGCCGAAGCUUGGCACCGCUCUGUCAUCUCUAUGUCUCCACUGCAAACUAAAAAGGAAACCACUCGCACGCGCGUAUACAGGACGCAUACACACGCGAAGGCGUCCCUCGUGUCCGCUCUUUCUCCCUAUAGUCUCUUCCGCGGCGUUCCACCAAAAUCACAGCUCUAAACGAGGCAGCAGCACACAUACAUACGGCUCUGCAGCUACCACAGUCUAGCCGUCACUCUCUCUCUCCCAUUUUUCUUGUGUUGUCUAUUUUCACGAUGUCCCUCACAGACGAGAUCCAACUCGAGCAGCUGGCCCCGACCAUCAAGGGCGACGCCUCCUGGUCCACCGGCCCCAUCUACGUUGUGUGCGAUGUUGGCGGCACGAACGCGCGCGUCGGCUUUGCUCAAGCGGCGCAGCACGAUAGAAGCGGCCUGCACAUCAUCUAUGUCCGCUUCAGGGUGACGAAGCGCGACAUCCGCCAGCUACUCGAGUUCUUCGAUGAGGUGCUGCAGCACCUGAAGAAGAACCUGCCCUACCGCGCUGGCCCCUUCCUGCGUCGUGUCGCGUCCGGUGCCGUGAGUGUGCCGGGACCUGUCACCAACGGACAGCUCGCCGGCCCCUUCAACAACCUGAAGGGCACUGCGCGGCUGGCGGACUACCCAGUGGAGCUGUUUCCAAAGGGCCGCAGCGCGCUUCUGAACGAUCUGGAGGCUGGCUCCUAUGGCGUGCUGGCUCUGAGCAACGCCGGCAUGCUGUCCGACUACUUCAAGGUCAUGUGGAAGGGCACGCAGUGGGACGCGCUGUCGGAAGGCAAGCCCGUCGGCAGCACCAUCGGCCACGGCCGCUGCAUGGUCGUGGCCCCCGGCACCGGCGUCGGCUCCUCUCUCAUCCACUAUGUGGGUGUCUCGGACAGCUAUGUCGUGCUGGCGCUGGAGUGCGGCUGUUUGUCCAUGUCUUGGUGCGCCAACGAGGACUCGAAGUACGUGCAGGCACUUGCCGGUUACAUGGCGUCCAAGGCGCGUGCGAAGGGCCUGGACUCGACGGUGGCCCCCAUCUGGGAGGCUGCGACAAGCGGUAGUGGGUUGGAGUUCAACUACGCGUACGAGAAGGAGGGGCCGAAGGCAUCCGUUCCCCUCAAGUCCGCUCCCGAGGUAGCCAAGCUCGCCAAGGCUGGCAGCGACCCGGCCGCCGUGGCCGCCAUGGACCGUCUCUACAAGAACCUCAUGGGCCUCACAGCUGAGACGACAAUGCAGUUCCUGCCGCUGACAUGUGUGCUGAUGGGCGACAGCAUUGUUUCCAACAGCUUUUACUUCGAUAACCCAGAGAAUGUGAAGAGGCUGCAGGCUCGCAUAAACGAGCACACGAUGGAGCGUCAGUUAAAGUUCUUGAGUCGCACCACGUUCCUUCGCCAGGUGCGCAGUGUGAAUAUCAACCUGCUGGGCUGCCUUGGAUUUGGUAGCCAGCUCUCCGACCCGGCAGAUCAGUUAGCGCCAAACAAGUCCAACUUGUGAAACACUAGCUGGAGCGCAAGAGAAAGAGUGACGACUCGUAGGGGAGUACUCGUGCUGAUCAUCCCGCUCUUGCUUUUCGAAGCGUCCGGAAGAAAGAACGAUUCGACGCUGCGAGGCACCCCUUCUCCUGAAGCCGAGGCGCUGUUGAAAGGGGUGUCUGUGCGUCACGACGUUUCUGUGUCGUUGGGGCGCGUGCAAAAGCGUGAGAGGAAGCCGGCGCCAGCUUGUGAACCCGCAGGUGCGCCUGUGUUGUGACGACGGUGCCGAUAGCAGCGGUGGUGGGCUACCGCCAUCGCGUCGGUGCAGCAAUCAUCAGCAGAAAAAG
RNAcentral lists this unclassified non-coding RNA (1859 nucleotides) under Leishmania donovani. RNAcentral's name for it is "gene:LdHU3.36.3260(CDS-product:glucokinase)". Lineage: Eukaryota; Euglenozoa; Kinetoplastea; Trypanosomatida; Trypanosomatidae. The record is from RNAcentral.